GGGGGGCGCGGGGGCCUUGGGGGUCCCAGGCCGGGCCGAGAGCUUCGGGCGUGGUGGGCACUGGCUCCGGCCAUCAGGUCGGGGCGCCCGGACCCCGCGCCCGAGGUUCCCGUCGGGCCUGCGCGGGGAGGAGCUGCUGCGGGGCGGCGAUGGCGGAGGGCGGGGGCCGGGCCUGGUCGGGGCCCCCAGCAGGCCCCCGCAGCCGGGUGGGCGGCAGAGAGCCGGAGAGCUGGGGAGAGGGCAUGCAGCAUGUGGCCCCCGGGUUUGGAAGGCCCUGGGAGCCUGGAUCCCAGCCCCCCACCCCAUCCACGUCCGGCUGCACGGCUAAGGGGCCCGAGAGGAGCCAUCGCUCCUUCGACUCCACGUUUCCUUUCCAGGUGUCCGGUCUGGCCGGCCGCCCAGCCCGAUAAGCAUGCAGCUGCUGUGUUUGGUGGCCGUGGUCGGCUGUUUGCUGGUGCCCCCGGCUCAAGGCAACAAGAGUUCUGAAGAUAUCCGGUGCAAAUGCAUCUGUCCGCCGUACAGGAACAUCAGUGGACACAUUUACAACCAGAAUGUGUCGCAGAAGGACUGAGACUGAAGCCCGAAGAGAGAAUUUCAAAUACACUCCUGGAGUCUUGAAUUCCUUUCUGCCUGCCUCCCUUUAAAAGAGAGAGAAAUAAUCACCACUUCGUUCAGAGAAAGGAGACCAGCUUGUGAAGGGAAGUUCCUACACAUUGUCCUAGAAGGGAUGGUCCUAGAGGCGCUAGAGAGAGGCUGCAGAGAGGUCUCGGGCCACGUGGAGGCUCACAAGGACGGGAGAGGGGCUGGCCCCCUCUGGGAGGUGGGGGCGUGUGGAAUUGGGGGCUUGUGGGUCUCAGUUAUGUUCAGUGUGGUUUGGGUGUAGAAUGGAGGCCAAAGGAAGAAAGCUUCAGGAAACAGACUUUCGUGUGCAUGGCUGGAGCAUUUCUAAUCUGGGCUUAGGAGCUGGGAAGCCCCAUCCUUGGAGACACCUGAGCACAGAUGGGUGAUUCCUUGAUAAAGCCUCCGUGGAAGGGAUCAGCGUCACAAGGGUUAGUACAUUAGGAUUGGCAGGUGCGCAUUGAGAAAAUACAGAUUCCCCACUCCCUCCUGUCCUUGAGAUUUGGGUUUGUAAUUUUUCCCAGCUUUGUUGAGAUGCAUCGGACAUACGACAUUGUGUAAGUUUAACGUGGACGACGUGACGAUUGGAUACACGUAUAUAUUGCGAAACAGUUACCACAGUAAGGUUGGUUAACACCUCCGUCACCUCCCAUAAUUACCGUGUGUGUGUGGUGAGAACAUUAGGUUCCAUUCUCUUAGCCACUUUCAGUAUAUAAUAUAGUAUUCACUGUAGUCACCAUGUUGUUCGUUACGUACUUAAUUGAGUCAGUAAAUAUGGGGGGACAGUAACCUUUCCUUAAGGUCCCUCAGGUGAUUAUGAUGUAGAUUAUUGGUCCAGAACAGCAGUGGGGAGCUUUGACCCCAUCCAACCCUAAGAUAGUCUGAUUUCCCGAGGGGCAGCCUAGUUAGGGGCACACACUCUGGGGCUGGCCUGCCUGGCUUCACGUGUAGCUCAGCCACUUGUCGUUGCGUGACCAGUGACUUAACCUCCAGUGCACUUCAGUUUCCUCCUCUGUAAGACGGUGGCAGUAUCGUGAGAAUUAAAUAAUCACGUGUGCGUGCACGCACACACGUACGAGUUACUACAGUCCUGUGCUGCGUGAUGACACUCCAGUCAGCAAUGGACCGUGUAUACAAUGUUGGUGCCAUCAGAUGAGUGCCAUCUAGCCCGGGUGUGCAGUGGACGGCACCAUCUAGGUUUGUGUAAGUGCACUCUGUGACGUUCGCACAACAACGAGAUCGCCUAAUGACGCAUUUCUCGGACGUGACCCCAUCGUUAAGCGACGCAUGGCUGUUUAGCGCUUUGAACGAUCCCUGGCACGUAGUAAGUGCCAUGUAAACGUUAGCUGAUAUCGUGACUAAUAUACGUUAUCAAGCCUUACCAGAGGCCCCAUAGGUAAUCGUCAUCAGACGUACACCGUAGCCCCGCACAACCGGGGCUCCCCCCGGCGCUGGACUGUCUCCCUCUGUUCUCGCCUGUCCUGAUGGAUUCACGAGGCCCUGAGACGUGAAGACCUGGGAGGAGCCCCUGCCACCUCCUUGUGUCUGUGGUUCUGGGUCAGAUGGCAUCAGUAAAUGGAUUGAUGGAUGUCUCAGCACCAUCAGAUCAUAAGGCUGCAUCCCACAGGCCCUGGCAGACGGUAAGGCUGCAUCCCGCAGGCCCUGGCAGAUCUUGGUAGCAUGCACGGUCUCUGCCCUGAGGUUGCAGCCUGGCCUGAAACCCAGACUGGGAUGCCCAGACACAGGAGUCCUGCGGGGACCUCUCAGGCCAGCGUUUAUGUCCUUCCCUGUAUACAUCAGAAUUAGGGGGCUGCUGAUGAACAGUCUUAAAUCUAGACCCUCAAGGCAGUUCUGUUAAGGGUGGUGGCUGAAUCUGAGGCUGGACGUAAGAUCCAGGAUUUGUCCCAGAGGGAAGUCAUCCUGUUUGGCUGGCCCCUGUGUGGCUGGUUUUCUGCCAUCUAGCGUUGGGAGUGCUGAAGUACAUGCCACAAAGAGACAGAAGCCCCAACAACUUUGCCAGCUGGCACGUCCCCCAGGGAUGUACGGCAUAGAGACCAUCCCAGAGCAGGAAAGAACCCGCCAGGUUGGCUAGUUCAGGGUCUUUGUCCGUCUACAGAUACAGCCUUUCUUCCAACAAAACCUGUUCUGGAAGCACAAGGUGUGGAAGUCAGAAGUGCUCUGGCUGGGAGGGAGGGGUCCCUCAGCCCCGCCUUGCACCCUGCUCCCGCACCGUGGGUCCUGGGGUGCCCACCAGAGCACAGUUUGAAAGAUACUGCUGGAGUCAGCCUUCGUUCGUAAAUGAGGAAACCCAGGGAGGUUAAAUGAGUUGCCUACAAGCACAGAACGCGCAGAAGAGCAGAGACCUCAGCCCGGCUUGUUGUUCUCUGUGCCCUCUCCCCUGGUGUGCUCUGGCCAGCCUGUAGAGGCUUGAAGGCGCUGAUCCCCACGGUAAAUGGGGUCCUUCUGAGAGCAAGGACGUGUUUGGGGUCCCACUGACUCUCUGGAGAGCCGGACACGGCAGAAACGUCAGCUCCUCCUUUGCUGUUCCUUUACCCCUCACAGCCUAUCCCUGAGUGACAGGACCCAAUUUGAAGAGCUCAGGUUGGCCCCUCCCAGCUGCCUCUGACACCCCACUUUGGCCCCGUGGGGAAUCCACGCAUCCCACUGAAGCACCAGGAGCCCAUGUGGCUUGGGACGGGAGGAAUCUGGUCCUCAGAAGGAUUGUAGUGACUUCCUGGAGAUGGGAGGUCCCAGGAGUGGUGACCAGGUGCCGGGUGUGACCCUGGCCUUGUCUAUCCCUGCUCCCUGUGGCAGCUGCAUGUGGGAUCUGAGAGGGUGGGUUCAGUCACAGUAGGGGAAGGACCAUGCACGCAGCAGGGGGUACUGUGACGGAAGCUGCUGCCCGGAGGUGGGACUGGGUCACCAGAGGUUUAGAUAAAGUCCUAUAUGCUGCACACAUGUAUGCCAUAUGUGCCCCUGCUAGAAACCUGGGUUUCUAGGGGGGACAGAGGCUUUUAGAGGACGCCCCAUUUUUAUUUCAACACCUGGUCUUCACAUCGCACAUCCUCCAUGCUUCUGCCAGAAACCCAGCCUGAGUCUAGCAGGACCCCGGGACAGCGCGGAACAGGCCUGACUGCUCUCAGGGAGCUGUCUUCCACGCUGGCCGCAUCCCUGUCAGAGCUGGAAGGGACUUGAGGGUCGUGUGGUACGAGCCCUGCCCGUCACAGAGGGGAGGACAGGCCCAGGGCACCAGACGCUUCAUGGCAGGGCGGGGACAGCCCAGAGCUGGCUGUCCACUGCACCGUGACCCCCAGUUCGCCUCUGCGGACCUCUGGGGGUGUUUGGUUUUCCCAGGGGUGAUGAUACGGGUGCGUCUGCAGGGUCCCUGGCUUGCUCAGUGUGGUCUGUGAGCCAGCCAGGUUGGAAACGUGCUGCUCCGAGGCAGGCAGGGACGGAGCGGCCCAGGUUAGAGCCCAGACCAGCACGGGCCCCUGGGGCUGAGCAUCCUGCAGCGACUGUGAGGCCGGGCGUCCAGUUUGGGUCCUGGCCUCAGCAGCGUGACGGCAGUCGCUCGGGUACCGAGCCUUGCUCUGGCCAGCACUGUGCCAGGCGCUGGGGACGUGGAGCGGACCCCUAUCCUCAAGGGACAUGACAUCUCCCGGGGUGAGGGUCUGACUCCAGUGCAGAGCCAUCAGUGGUGGCGCGGAGACGAGCGUGAGGAGCUGCUCUUGUGGGGAGGGCUCCGGAGCUGAACCCCGAAGGCCGUGUGGGCUUCAGAGAGGGGAAGGAGGCGGUGAUGAAGCCGGGCAUUCCUGGCACAGGGUGUGAGUCGUGUCAGGGAGGGGAGCGUGGCUCGUUCAGAGAAAAGUCCAGGAGGUCAGCACAGCUGGAGGGUGGGCAGCGGGGUGAGGAGCUGGACAGGCGGGCAGCCCCGGUGUGAGGUGGAUGGGCGCCUGGGUGGAGCAGAGGCCCUGCGGUGGGGCAGCGACCGGGCUAAGCUGGGCAGUGGCAGGACCGGAGUUUCAUCUGGGGAGACCACCGGGCUGCUGGUGAAAGUGGUUUGGAACAGGGCCAAACCAAGGCGGGAGGGCAGUGGGCGGGGGGCCAUCUGAGGAAGACAUGAGGAGGGCUCCGCUAAGACGCAGCCGUGGGGGAGAGUAAGGAAGCAGGGUUUUAGAGAUGUUUGAGGAGGGGAGUCCCUGGGUGUGCGGGAUUGUGGGUGGGAGUACAGGCAGUGUCAGGGAUGGUUCCCAGGUUCAACUUGGGCCAUGGAGUGGGUGGGAGACGUGCUCUCUGCCAUUGGGAACACGACCAUGGAGCCAGUUGGGGAAUUGGGGAGUCAGGGGCAGAGGCUGUGGGGUUUGUGGUCCCGACGGGGCACUCACAGGCAGCGGGGCAUGAGAAUGGAGGAGAGAGACCCAGCUGAUAAGUCUCAUCUGAGACCCACCAGCCUCCAAGUAGAAAUCUCUGGAAGGGACAGGCCCACUCAGGCAGCACACAGCAUGAGAUAGAAGGGCAGGCGGGGCCAGAACUUUGGGGAGUGGCAACUCCCUAAAGUUGGGGUGUACUGUGGGGAGCUGGUGCUCAUGGGCAAGGGCAGGGCUGUCACCCUCGCUAGAGCCCUGCCCUCCCCAGGAGCCUGGUCCCCUCUGCCCAGCAGCCCUGCUGCUCCUCCCACGGCCCCCCUCAGCCCUGCUCCUCCUCCCACGGCCCCCCUCGGCCCUGCUCCUCCUCCCACGGCCCCCCUCGGCCCUGCUCCUCCUCCCACGGCCCCCCUCAGCCCUGCUCCUCCUCCCACGGCCCCCCUCGGCCCUGCUCCUCCUCCCACGGCCCCCCUCAGCCCUGCUCCUCCUCCCACACCGCCCCCUCCCCCCCCCGCCCUGCUCCUCCUCCCACGGCCCCCCUCAGCGCCUGUCUCUGCCGCAGCAACUGCCUGCACGUGGUUGACCCCAUGCCUGUGCCCGGCCAUGACGUGGAGGCCUACUGCUUGCUGUGCGAGUGCAGGUACGAGGAGCGCAGCACCACCACCAUCAAGGUAACGUACCACCAGUCCCACCCCCCUCCCCACCCCUGCCCUAUGCCACCGGCUCUUCUCUGUUCUGGAACAUUCUGGGUGGCUCUGGGACUGGCUUCUAAGCUGGCCUGGUUGUAGACGGAGGAACUAUGUCCCACCCCGUCGUGGUGGCCGCUCUCCCUGCAACCUCCAGCCAGCGGUCCCCGCACAGCUGCAGCUGAGAGCAUGGAGCUGGGAGCCUGGAGAGACGUGAACCAAGCCGGUGUCUGGGGCUAGGACCUGGGCAGAGGGCUCAGGCUGCUUCCUUUGGCUCCUCCCUGCACCAUGUUCUCAUAGGUCAUUGGCUGGAUUCAGGAGGGAGGUGGUGGACACAGCCACCACCACAGGAAGUGAGGCCAGCCAGGACCCAGGCCCUUCUCUGCCUCCAGGCAGGACUUGCCCAGAUCAUGGCUCUCUCUGGCAGAACCUCGUCUCCCAGACCCCCUCCGGGUCUCCAGUCCAGGUUCUCCAUGGGGAGCCCGACCACGCUCUCCGAUUUCGAGCAUAAGGCCUUCCUGCUCCAGCUUUUAGGCUCAUUUCCGUUUGUCCUGUCAAGAGUCUAGUAGUAGCAUCGGGAAAGAGCUCUGAGGACCUUCACGACACCACUGAGUCCUCUGUCAGGUCCCCUUUGGGGGUGCAUCAGAGGGGAGGGGGUCCUCACCACGAUCCUCCCUGCCCAGCCCAGGGAGCCGGCAGCUCCUGGCCUGCCCGGGGGUCCUCAGUGUCCUCGCCUUUCAGAUGGAGGGCAGCUGCCUGUUCCCGACCCCUGUCACUGCCCUGUCACGCUGUACAGACUCAAUGCCUUUCAUCCUCCGCCAAGUCCGUCCCUCCUGGACCCGGCCUUCCUCCUCUGAACCUGCUCCGGGGGCCCCACCCUCUGAGCCCUCAAAUUCUGAGCUGGAUGUCACCUCUCCCUCUUCAGUGGGGAAGGGACUUCCCGACAUGGCGACCUCCUCCUAGUCCCCCCGAUUUCCUUCCAGCCAUUCUCCCAGGAGACUCCCCACUUUCGGCCUCUCCGAGAGUCAGCCUCCAUUCCCCCUCCCCCUUCCUGGGGCGCGGGCAACAGGUCUGAUUAUUGACCCCAUUUAAGGAGGCGUGAACGCUGAUGCCCCCGCUGCGGAGGAGGUCGGUCCAGGUGAGCGUGGCUGUAGACUGAGCCCCACACCUGGAAGCCCGAGCUUGCUUUUAUCCCCUCUUCACAGUCAGGGGCCAGGGCUGGGGUCAGAAGCCAGGGAUGGCCCGGCGUUUGGAAGUAGAGAAAGCCUUUUGGAUGGAGUCAGUGAACCUGGGUCCAGGUUACGUCUCUGCCGUGUACUAAUCUUGGGACCUGUUGGUUCUCAAUCAGGGGGUUCCUGGACCCCAAGGGACACUCAGAGAUGAGUGGAGAGGCUUCUGUGGCCCCAAUAACUGAGGUGUGUUGCUGACACCAUUGCGGGGACCGUGGAUGCUCAGUGUCUUGAGGGUCCAGUCUUCAAUGCCCAGAGCUCCCACGUGGAGGAACGUUGCGUUAGCCUCGCUGCGUCUGUCCGACUGCAGCGUGUGAGGCUCUCCGUGUAUGUGAGAAAUUCGUGAAGUUGUCCCUCUGCCCCUGGCUGUCUCCUCCCUGCAGGGUUACCCAUGGGGGCUGGACCUGGCCUCCAGCCAUCAUUGCACACCUUGCCAGGCUGUCCUGCUGGCGGGCGCUGGGUGCAGAAACGUCCCCCCAUCACUCCCGCGCCCAGCAGUGGGAUGCGCCCACGUGCCCAGGUUCCUUCUCCUCGGCCUCUGCGCCCGCCACCUGCUUGCUCUUCUUAGUGCCCCAUCGCUUUCCACCCUUUGUCAUAGGCUCUUCCGUAGCCAGGGGGCCCCGUUUCCCUGCUCCCCAGCCCGGGGAGCAUCUUGGGGAGUCAGGAUCCAGACUCCUUCCUUUGUCGUCUGUCUUCUAUGCCUGCUGGGGAACUCAGUGUUCCUGUGGGACCCCCUCAGUUUGGGGCAGAGUUAGUAAACGCGUGGAGCAGGCCGUGCUGUCCCUUCCUGGCCCCCGUCCCUCCAGGCCCACACGGUCUCAGCCCUUCCCCAGUGCAUGGUGCGGUCACCGCCGUGGGACGCAGAUGCCCAGGGUGCUGCUCACGGGUCGGUCUCCUCCUCAGGUCAUCAUUGUCAUCUACCUGUCGGUGGUGGGGGCCCUCCUGCUCUACAUGACUUUCCUGAUGCUGGUGGACCCUCUGAUCCGAAAGCCGGAUGCGUACACAGAACAGCUGCACAAUGAGGAGGAGAACGAGGAUGCUCGCUCUAUGGCGGCUGCCGCGGCCUCCUUCGGGGGACCCCGCGCCAACACGGUCCUGGAACGUGUGGAAGGCGCUCAGCAGCGGUGGAAGCUGCAGGUGCAGGAGCAACGGAAGACGGUCUUCGAUCGGCACAAGAUGCUCAGCUAGAGGGCCCGGCACAGUCGGGCCAAGGACCAGCGGCCACGGCUGGAUAGAGCCAGGGGCCACUCUCCCCUCCUUCGACGCCACCCUUCCUGGGUCUUCCCUUUAAAAGCCUGUGGCGUUUUUUCCUCCUUCUGCCCCUCUUUAGAAACGUUGUUCUCAGCUGAGUUAAUUCCGGAAGCGUGAUGGGGUCCCCGAUCUCUCGUUCGCCUGCUCAGGUCUUGGGGGUUUGUGGGGGGAAGGCAGGCCAAGAGGGGAUGGAGGCGUCCGUCUCAGGCGGCCUCAGGGUUGGAAGGAGCCUCUCUCUCAUUGCUCCACCCUUGCCACCUCUCCGGCUCCAAAUCCCGGGAAGGUUCCAGCCUCUGGAAGGUGGAGCUGGGUCGUCAGGACCUCGGUGUGUGGGAGGAAAGCCUGGCCCCUGCCACCUGUGCUGCUUUCUGCUGUGGUUGUGGUGGCUGCCUUCCUCGCCACCCCGAGACGUCAGCCCCCGAGCACCCAUCCCCUCUUCCUCCUCCCUCCUCUCCUCCCCUGACGCAUGGUGGUGGCCGUGCACCCUGCCUCCUCUCGGCCCGGCCCUCCCGCCCACUCAGGAGGCCAGGCAGGCCCCUUGCCUCCCUGUGUGUGUUGUCACUGAGCCAGACGGGUGGUGGGACCACGCGGCACAAGGCCGGGCGGUGGCUCUGAAUGCCACAGCCUUGGGGCACCACGCAUCCCUGAAUUUCCUUGUAGCGUGCAUGGGCAGACAUGUUUGUCUACCGUUGUCUGUAAGUCAAGGAAGCCAUCAUUAAAUUGUCUUAUUUCUCACUUUCUG
Molecule: long non-coding RNA, 8890 nt
Organism: Equus caballus (horse)
Lineage: Eukaryota; Metazoa; Chordata; Mammalia; Perissodactyla; Equidae
Source: Ensembl